This 527-nucleotide ribosomal RNA is filed under the name uncultured bacterium. RNAcentral describes it as "bacterial SSU rRNA". It matches the Rfam family "Bacterial small subunit ribosomal RNA", at positions 777 to 1302 of the family's 1533-position model. The record is from RNAcentral.
AAUAGAUACCCAGGUAGUCCACGCCGUAAACGAUGAGUGCUAAGUGUUAGAGGGUUUCCGCCCUUUAGUGCUGCAGCUAACGCAUUAAGCACUCCGCCUGGGGAGUACGGCCGCAAGGCUGAAACUCAAAGGAAUUGACGGGGGCCCGCACAAGCGGUGGAGCAUGUGGUUUAAUUCGAAGCAACGCGAAGAACCUUACCAGGUCUUGACAUCCUCUGCCAACCCUAGAGAUAGGGCGUUCCCCUUCGGGGGACAGAGUGACAGGUGGUGCAUGGUUGUCAUCAGCUCGUGUCGUGAGAUGUUGGGUUAAGUCCCGCAACGAGCGCAACCCUUGAUCUUAGUUGCCAGCAUUCAGUUGGGCACUCUAAGGUGACUGCCGGUGACAAACCGGAGGAAGGUGGGGAUGACGUCAAAUCAUCAUGCCCCUUAUGACCUGGGCUACACACGUGCUACAAUGGAUGGUACAAAGAGCUGCGAACCCGCGAGGGUAAGCGAAUCUCAUAAAGCCAUUCUCAGUUCGGAUUGUA